RNAcentral lists this ribosomal RNA (467 nucleotides) under uncultured bacterium. RNAcentral's name for it is "partial 16S ribosomal RNA". It matches the Rfam family "Bacterial small subunit ribosomal RNA", at positions 28 to 507 of the family's 1533-position model. The record is from RNAcentral.
GAUGAACGCUGGCGGCGUGCUUAACACAUGCAAGUCGAACGGAAAGGCCCAAGCUUGCUUGGGUACUCGAGUGGCGAACGGGUGAGUAACACGUGGGUGAUCUGCCCUGCACUUCGGGAUAAGCCUGGGAAACUGGGUCUAAUACCGGAUAGGACCACUUCUUGGAUGUUGUGGUGGAAAGUUUUUUCGGUGUGGGAUGAGCUCGCGGCCUAUCAGCUUGUUGGUGGGGUAAUGGCCUACCAAGGCGUCGACGGGUAGCCGGCCUGAGAGGGUGUACGGCCACAUUGGGACUGAGAUACGGCCCAGACUCCGACGGGAGGCAGCAGUGGGGAAUAUUGCACAAUGGGCGCAAGCCUGAUGCAGCGACGCCGCGUGGGGGAUGAUGGCCUUCGGGUUGUAAACUCCUUUCGCUAGGGACGAAGCGUUUUGUGACGGUACCUGGAGAAGAAGCACCGGCUAACUACGUG